AACGAACGCUAGCGGCAGGCCUAAUACAUGCAAGUCGAGGGGCAGCGCGGUAGCAAUACUGGCGGCGACCGGCGCACGGGUGCGUAACACGUAUGCAACCUACCUUCAACUGGAGGAUAGCCCGGGGAAACUCGGAUUAAUACUCCAUAACACAGGGAUCCCGCAUGGGAAUAUUGUUAAAGCUACGGCGGUUGAAGAUGGGCAUGCGUUCGAUUAGCUAGUUGGUGUAGGUAACGGCUCACCAAGGCUACGAUCGAUAGGGGGUCUGAGAGGAUGAUCCCCCACACUGGUACUGAGAUACGGACCAGACUCCUACGGGAGGCAGCAGUAGGGAAUAUUGGUCAAUGGGCGCAAGCCUGAACCAGCCAUGCCGCGUGCAGGAAGAAGGCCCUCUGGGUUGUAAACUGCUUUUGAUAGGGAACAAAUGCCACUUGCGAGUGGAGCUGAGUGUACCUAUAGAAUAAGCACCGGCUAACUCCGUGCCAGCAGCCGCGGUAAU
This 499-nucleotide ribosomal RNA is filed under the name uncultured bacterium. RNAcentral's name for it is "bacterial SSU rRNA". It matches the Rfam family "Bacterial small subunit ribosomal RNA", at positions 29 to 524 of the family's 1533-position model. The record is from RNAcentral.